UACGGGGGGAGCAAGCGUUGUUCGGAUUUACUGGGCGUAAAGGGCGCGUAGGCGGCCACCGCAAGUCAGUUGUGAAAUCUCUGGGCUUAACCCAGAACGGUCAGCUGAUACUGCGGGGCUAGAGUGCAGAAGGGGCAACUGGAAUUCUCGGUGUAGCGGUGAAAUGCGUAGAUAUCGAGAGGAACACCUGCGGCGAAGGCGGGUUGCUGGGCUGACACUGACGCUGACAGCGCGAAAGCUAGGGGAGCGAAGCGGG
This 256-nucleotide ribosomal RNA is filed under the name uncultured bacterium. RNAcentral's name for it is "partial 16S ribosomal RNA". It matches the Rfam family "Bacterial small subunit ribosomal RNA", at positions 524 to 777 of the family's 1533-position model. The record is from RNAcentral.